GAAAUAUCAAAUGGCGCCAUUAUUUGGCCCGUAGAAACGCAGCUACAGUAGCUAACACCGACUCUCCUCGCUUGGCUACAAAUGGCGUGUAAACAGCAGAGGGAAAACAAACAGCAGCAGCUUUUACCUGUUACUGGGGACAUAAAGGCGGAAGUGACGGACGUGGGAGGCAUCCUUAGAGAUGACGAUGUUUCCGGUAAACUGACCCGGGGUGAACCAGAAGGGAAAGUUUGGAACAUCAUUGAGCUGGAACUCUGCGUGGAUCCUGCAGAUGCUGUUAUGCUCCAAACAGGAAGUUGUUAGCUUCCUCACCUGAAGACGAUGUCAUAGUAAAAGUCGCUGCUGGCUCGGAUGCAGGCGACGGUUCCCUGCGGUGCAAACCUCGACUUGAUGAAAGGCCGCGGGUGGAACAUGCUCAGCAGGGAGUGGAUCAGAACCUGCAGCAGAACCAGAACAUUGGAUCAGAACAAAACCCAAACUAACCCAAACACACCGAGCUGGAGUGCUGGAUCACCUCUUUGCCCUUUGGGGUUGGAGGGUGGUAGCGGUUGUUGGGCAGGUAGCCAGUGAAGAUGUUGAGCUCACUGGGAAUGACCCACCAUGCGUCUCCCGGCUGCGUUUUGCCCUUUGGGGGCAGAAACACCCGGAAGUGUCCGGCGGGGAACGAGGAGGAGGGAACGACGGGUUGCGUCCAGGAGCGGAGGCCACUCAGCGAGCUGUGAGAAACCUGCACAAAAACAAGACCGCUUCGUACAUUUCAACACUUUUUGGAUGCUUUUCAGUUAAUGGUUUUUACCCCAAGAAAGCCGUCGCGGCUUUUUGUCAUGGAGUCCAGCAGCAGAGGCUUCAUGCUGGCCUCCAGAACCAGAGUCUCUCCGUUUGGGUCGUCGAUCACGUCCUCUUCCAGAUCCACCGGCGCUGUGAUCCCUGCAAGGGAAACACAGUUACAGAUCCUUGGAAAAGGACUUUCAUCCCCUAAACUUAAUACAACCACAGACCUGAAGGUG
Molecule: long non-coding RNA, 1007 nt
Organism: Gambusia affinis (western mosquitofish)
Lineage: Eukaryota; Metazoa; Chordata; Actinopteri; Cyprinodontiformes; Poeciliidae
Exons: 3
Source: RefSeq, a predicted model, not a curated record